CAAUCUCUCAUCAUCCUCUGUAAUUCUCUAAUCCUCUCAGAGAGAAUUCUAAACUCAAGAGAAAAGAGAAGAUUGGAAGUCCAUCUCCUACACUCAAGAACCACUAUGAAUCAUCAUGGAUUCAGGUAUGCUUCCGCUUUCGUAUUUCUCAGUAAUUUAAUCUGGAUGUUAUGAAGAUUUAGGGGAUAACAAGUGGUAUCAGAGCCCCAUCCAUGAUUAGAUUAUUGAGUUAUUAAUUUCUGAUUAAUGGUUAUAGUCGAAUCAAACUGUUAAUGAAUGAUUCGGUUAUCGGGAAUAAUUAAAAUUAGUUUUGAUGGACUCAUGACGAAACAAAACUGGUAGAUUGAACACGUGAAAUCAUGGAUUCAAUUUCAAAAUCAUGCUUUGAUUCUCAGUUACGGUGGCCAUUAUUUUUAAUGUUUCGAUUUCAUUUUUUUUAGUUGCAUUUAAAUUUGAUUUUAGUUGGAAUGGCCAUGCUUUAUGAUCUCGAUUGGUUAUGUUUUCAAUAAUUCGCUUUAAGUAUGUAGUGGCUUUACU
This 537-nucleotide long non-coding RNA is filed under the name Citrus sinensis (sweet orange). RNAcentral's name for it is "long non-coding RNA (CSIN_LNC004298)". The record is from RNAcentral. Lineage: Eukaryota; Viridiplantae; Streptophyta; Magnoliopsida; Sapindales; Rutaceae.